CCUACGGGAGGCAGCAGUGGGGAAUAUUGCACAAUGGGCGCAAGCCUGAUGCAGCCAUGCCGCGUGUGUGAAGAAGGCCUUCGGGUUGUAAAGCACUUUCAGCGGGGAGGAAGGCGGUGAGGUUAAUAACCUCAUCGAUUGACGUUACCCGCAGAAGAAGCACCGGCUAACUCCGUGCCAGCAGCCGCGGUGAUACGGAGGGUGCAAGCGUUAAUCGGAAUUACUGGGCGUAAAGCGCACGCAGGCGGUCUGUCAAGUCGGAUGUGAAAUCCCCGGGCUCAACCUGGGAACUGCAUUCGAAACUGGCAGGCUAGAGUCUUGUAGAGGGGGGUAGAAUUCCAGGUGUAGCGGUGAAAUGCGUAGAGAUCUGGAGGAAUACCGGUGGCGAAGGCGGCCCCCUGGACAAAGACUGACGCUCAGGUGCGAAAGCGUGGGGAGCAAACAGGAUUAGAUACCCGAGUAGUC
This 465-nucleotide ribosomal RNA is filed under the name uncultured Klebsiella sp. Its description in RNAcentral is "bacterial SSU rRNA". It matches the Rfam family "Bacterial small subunit ribosomal RNA", at positions 338 to 795 of the family's 1533-position model. The record is from RNAcentral. Lineage: Bacteria; Pseudomonadati; Pseudomonadota; Gammaproteobacteria; Enterobacterales; Enterobacteriaceae.